RNAcentral lists this ribosomal RNA (491 nucleotides) under uncultured bacterium. RNAcentral describes it as "partial 16S ribosomal RNA". It matches the Rfam family "Bacterial small subunit ribosomal RNA", at positions 29 to 507 of the family's 1533-position model. The record is from RNAcentral.
GUGAACGCUGGCGGUAGGCCUAACACAUGCAAGUCGAACGGCAGCACAGUAGGAGCUUGCUCUUACGGGUGGCGAGUGGCGGACGGGUGAGGAAUACAUCGGAAUCUACUUUUUCGUGGGGGAUAACGUAGGGAAACUUACGCUAAUACCGCAUACGACCUACGGGUGAAAGCAGGGGAUCUUCGGACCUUGCGCGAUUGAAUGAGCCGAUGUCGGAUUAGCUAGUUGGCGGGGUAAAGGCCCACCAAGGCGACGAUCCGUAGCUGGUCUGAGAGGAUGAUCAGCCACACUGGAACUGAGACACGGUCCAGACUCCUACGGGAGGCAGCAGUGGGGAAUAUUGGACAAUGGGCGCAAGCCUGAUCCAGCCAUACCGCGUGGGUGAAGAAGGCCUUCGGGUUGUAAAGCCCUUUUGUUGAGAAAGAAAAGCAGCAGGUUAAUACCCCGCUGUUCUGACGGUACCCAAAGAAUAAGCACCGGCUAACUUCGUG